Molecule: ribosomal RNA, 497 nt
Filed under: uncultured bacterium
Lineage: Bacteria
Description: partial 16S ribosomal RNA
Rfam family: Bacterial small subunit ribosomal RNA
Source: RNAcentral
GAUGAACGCUGGCGGCGUGCCUAAUACAUGCAAGUCGAGCGAACAGACGAGGAGCUUGCUCCUCUGACGUUAGCGGCGGACGGGUGAGUAACACGUGGAUAACCUACCUAUAAGACUGGGAUAACUUCGGGAAACCGGAGCUAAUACCGGAUAAUAUAUUGAACCGCAUGGUUCAAUAGUGAAAGACGGUUUUGCUGUCACUUAUAGAUGGAUCCGCGCCGCAUUAGCUAGUUGGUAAGGUAACGGCUUACCAAGGCGACGAUGCGUAGCCGACCUGAGAGAGUGAUCAGCCAGACUGGAACUGAGACACGGUCCAGACUCCUACGGGAGGCAGCAGUGGGGAAUAUUCCACAAUGGGCGAAAGCCUGACGGAGCAACGCCGCGUGAGUGAUGAAGGUCUUCGGAUUGUAAAGCUCUGUUAUUGGGGAAGAACAAAAGUGUAAGUAACCAUGGCUGUCUUGACGGUACCUAAUCAGAAAGCCACGGCUAACUACGUG